Molecule: non-coding RNA, 73 nt
Organism: Parelaphostrongylus tenuis
Lineage: Eukaryota; Metazoa; Nematoda; Chromadorea; Rhabditida; Metastrongylidae
Source: the annotation of a GenBank genome assembly
GCGUCGGUAGUGCAAACGGUUAGCAUACGCUCCCGGAAAGUGUGAGAUCUGAGUUCGAAUCCCGGCUGACGCA